UACGGAGGGGGUUAGCGUUGUUCGGAAUGACUGGGCGUAAAGCGCGCGUAGGCGGAUCGGUAAGUUGGGGGUGAAAUCCCGGGGCUCAACCCCGGAAUGGCCUUCAAGACUCCCGGUCUUGAGUUCGAGAGAGGUGAGUGGAAUUCCGAGUGUAGAGGUGAAAUUCGUAGAUAUUCGGAGGAACACCAGUGGCGAAGGCGGCUCACUGGCUCGACACUGACGCUGAGGUGCGAAAGCGUGGGGAGCAAACAGGAUUAGAA
RNAcentral lists this ribosomal RNA (260 nucleotides) under uncultured bacterium. RNAcentral's name for it is "partial 16S ribosomal RNA". It matches the Rfam family "Bacterial small subunit ribosomal RNA", at positions 524 to 783 of the family's 1533-position model. The record is from RNAcentral.